GACGAACGCUGGCGGCGUGCUUAACACAUGCAAGUCGAACGGAAAGGCCCUGCUUUUGUGGGGUUCUCGAGUGGCGAACGGGUGAGUAACACGUGAGUAACCUGCCCUUGACUUUGGGAUAACUUCAGGAAACUGGGGCUAAUACCGGAUAGGAGUUCCUGCUGCAUGUUGGGGGUUGGAAAGUUUCGGCGGUUGGGGAUGGACUCGCGGCUUAUCAGCUUGUUGGUGGGGUAGUGGCUUACCAAGGCUUUGACGGGUAGCCGGCCUGAGAGGGUGACCGGCCACAUUGGGACUGAGAUACGGCCCAGACUCCUACGGGAGGCAGCAGUGGGGAAUAUUGCACAAUGGGCGGAAGCCUGAUGCAGCAACGCCGCGUGCGGGAUGACGGCCUUCGGGUUGUAAACCGCUUUCGCCUGUGACGAAGCGUGAGUGACGGUAAUGGGUAAAGAAGCACCGGCUAACUACGUG
This 468-nucleotide ribosomal RNA is filed under the name uncultured bacterium. RNAcentral describes it as "partial 16S ribosomal RNA". It matches the Rfam family "Bacterial small subunit ribosomal RNA", at positions 28 to 507 of the family's 1533-position model. The record is from RNAcentral.